This 253-nucleotide ribosomal RNA is filed under the name uncultured bacterium. Its description in RNAcentral is "partial 16S ribosomal RNA". It matches the Rfam family "Bacterial small subunit ribosomal RNA", at positions 524 to 776 of the family's 1533-position model. The record is from RNAcentral.
UACAGAGGUCCCAAGCGUUGUUCGGAUUCACUGGGCGUAAAGGGUGCGUAGGUGGCGGGGAAAGUCUGAUGUGAAAUCUCCGGGCUUAACCCGGAAAUGGCAUUGGAAACUACCUUGCUCGAGGAUUGGAGGGGGGACUGGAAUACUUGGUGUAGCAGUGAAAUGCGUAGAUAUCAAGUGGAACACCAGUGGCGAAGGCGAGUCCCUGGACAACUCCUGACACUGAGGCACGAAAGCUAGGGGAGCAAACGGG